This 305-nucleotide ribosomal RNA is filed under the name uncultured bacterium. RNAcentral describes it as "bacterial SSU rRNA". It matches the Rfam family "Bacterial small subunit ribosomal RNA", at positions 335 to 638 of the family's 1533-position model. The record is from RNAcentral.
UGCCUACGGGGGGCAGCAGUGAGGAAUAUUGGUCAAUGGCCGAGAGGCUGAACCAGCCAAGUCGCGUGAGGGAAGACGGCCCUACGGGUUGUAAACCUCUUUUGUCGGGGAGCAAAGCGAACCACGUGUGGUUCAUUGAGAGUACCCGAAGAAAAAGCAUCGGCUAACUCCGUGCCAGCAGCCGCGGUAAUACGUAGGAGGCAAGCGUUAUCCGGAAUGACUGGGCGUAAAGGGUGCGUAGGUGGUUUGGCAAGUUAGUAGCGUAACCCCGGGGCUCAACCUCGGAACUACUACUAAAACUGUCG